RNAcentral lists this small nuclear RNA (196 nucleotides) under Corchorus capsularis. RNAcentral describes it as "snRNA U2". It matches the Rfam family "U2 spliceosomal RNA". From Rfam's summary of the family: U2 is a small nuclear RNA (snRNA) component of the spliceosome (involved in pre-mRNA splicing). The record is from Rfam by way of RNAcentral. Lineage: Eukaryota; Viridiplantae; Streptophyta; Magnoliopsida; Malvales; Malvaceae.
AUACCUUUCUCGGCCUUUUGGCUAAGAUCAAGUGUAGUAUCUGUUCUUAUCAGUUUAAUAUCUGAUACGUGGGUCAUUGACCCACAUGAUAUUAAAUUUAUUUUUAGAGGGGGAGGGUCCACCACAGUAGCUUGCUGCUGGGAUCCUUAAGCGUCGCCCAUGUGUUGCACUACAGCACGGGCCUGGCGCACCCCAC